CGUGGAGGUUGUGAGUGGUCAAUAAGGAAUCGGUCACUCCUUGUAGGAAGAGAGAACAUCCUAUGUGAUCUCAUAGGAUGAUGACUCUGACAGUCUCUGACCAGAGUAGAGAUGAACAGUAGAAAUAGUUUCUACUGAUUCAUCAACUGAGUCAUCAUCAUCAAAUCGAGAUACAUAUGAAUAGGUACUUGGGCUUGCCAUGAUUUCAUGCCCAUGAUCUGUCUGGGAUGUUGUGUGAUCGAAGAAUUGAAUUGUAUAGUAACUCACCACAGAAGGAUAAUUUUGAUAAUUUUACUAAAUUCUAAAUCUUUCGAGUAGUCAUGACACGUUGUUAGAUGUCAAUCUUGACUUGUGGACUUAUCUUCUAUGUAAUGG
RNAcentral lists this long non-coding RNA (375 nucleotides) under Elaeis guineensis (African oil palm). RNAcentral's name for it is "long non-coding RNA (EGUI_LNC067372)". Lineage: Eukaryota; Viridiplantae; Streptophyta; Magnoliopsida; Arecales; Arecaceae. The record is from RNAcentral.